Molecule: long non-coding RNA, 8566 nt
Filed under: Panax ginseng (ginseng)
Lineage: Eukaryota; Viridiplantae; Streptophyta; Magnoliopsida; Apiales; Araliaceae
Description: long non-coding RNA (PGIN_LNC011086)
Source: RNAcentral
UGGUAGAAACAGUAAUAUUCAUUGCACCAUUAAAGUUGGGAAGAUACAAAUGCAACUGAUUUAAAGACGGAAUAUUUUUUAUUAAAAAAAAUAGGUGUUUAUACUUUAUAGAAACGUUAAAACAUUGAGAGGGAUCUCAUAGCCUCGUUAACCAAAAUCAAAAUCUAUGAAGAUUAGACCCAAAUUAAGAUUUGAAUAAAGCAUGUAAUACUAACCAAGUUGUUCCAUUUAUUUGCAACUCCAGAAUCCAUUGAUCAAGUUAGACUUGGCAGGUGCGCUCUGAGAAGAAUAAUGAAGCACAACAGACACAUUUAAGAUAACAUAGUAGCAAAAGUAAUGGAACUACUAUUGCAUUAUGAAACUUCAGAUCCUAACAUAGUAUCAUGACUUGAAUUUGACAGUCCAUUAAAAAUAAUUGUUCUUUAAAAAAAUGCCCUGAACUUGUUGAAGGAUGAUCAUGGUCUGUAACUGCAAUCCUAAAAAUAAAUACUAAAAUUAAAUUACUUUUACAUCACAUAUAUACCUUAAAAUCCUUAUGAACAAUAUUCCAAUCUUGUGCCAACCAUUAUAUAUUUGUGAGCAAAACUGAUGCAUGACAGAUUUAGGGUGAAGGAUUAAUGGACAAUAAACUAGGAUUUAACUCCACGUUUAAACCACUAAGAUCUCUCAAGUGUAUCAACUCCACGUAUUAACACCAAGAUGGAAAAAUACAUCUACGGUAGGAUACCUCUAAGAUAUGAAUAAAAUAAUUCACUUCAAUAUCAAUAGAAUGUAGUCUAAAAGGCUUGUGAGGAUUACAUCACUAUUUAAAGAAACUCAAACCCUAAUAUUACUUGGCGAAUAAUAAAAUACUAAACGACUAACAUACCAUUAUUAAUAAUUUCUAAUCACUAAUUAAUGUCCUAAAUCCCCACUAAAAAAUAAAAUACAUAAAUCACAUCAACUACUUUUUUAUUAAACAUAAUAAAAACUCCAAAUAAUAAAUAUAAAAAAUCUCUUCUUCUUUGUUCUUUACUUGGAGUCCCCAUCAUUCUCCUCUUGUUGGAGAGACCUCGAGUUCUAUAAUAUGAGAAAAUAAGCAAUGAACUCCUCCGCAACGAAAGAACAUCUUGAAACACCUUUGACAAAAUCAUCACACGGUAUGACUCAAAAAAAAUUUAAAAAAAUAUUGAUGAGAGCCUUGGUUUUGAAUUCGAAGGUGCUAAAAAGAAGCUUUCUGGAACAACGAAAUCAACAACGCCAACUUGAAUUGAAUCAACUUCUCAAAUCGUCUUUUCUUCGGUCAUGAACUCCUCAAAAGUAACGUUAGAGGUUUUCUCAAUUUGUUCCUCAUAUAUAAUCUAUGGUUCAACUUUUGAAACUUCAAGAAUUUCCAUGGACACGUUCUGUAGCCCCAAAAUUUGAAACAUCCUCUUUUUCUUUCUAUUGCUCUGCUUGAAAAUGUGCUCGCAAGUCAAUAAGGUCUUCUUUUAUAGAAGAUAUGUCAUCUAUUGAUAAAGAGAUGUGAUCUAUUAAAGAAGAACAUAUAAAAAUCAUAUCAUGUGUAGCCUUUUGAAGUUCUUUUGUUUUAACUUAUUGACGUUUCUUUACUUCAGCUUUUCUUUGUUCAUCUCGGCGUUGCAAUUCUCCAAGGUAUUCUUGUGCAUCAACCAUAUCUCAUCUAAGUUCUUCCUACUUGCGCUUCAAAUAUCUAUAACCACAUGUAUUAAUAAGGUAAUAAAUUUGAUCAUUUUUAUUGUCAAGUAACCAAAUAUACUCUUUUGUUUCGACAAUCAAUUCUUUAGUGACUAGAGACAUUGGGUGUUUGGGACAAUGGGUUAUAAUAUAAAUAAAUAAAUAAAAUAAAACUUAUUUUUUUUAUAAAUUAAGGGCCUAACUGAAAAGAAAAUAAAAAACAGGGGCUAAAAUAUGAAUUCAGAAGUGUAGGGGCUAAUUUAGAAAGAAUGAAAGGGUAUAAGUGAAAAGUGUAUAAACAACGAGGCUAAAAUUUAAAAGUUAAGAAAACCAUGAGAUGUAAACUGCAAUUUUGAAAAUAUAUUUAUAAGAUUACCUAUUAGGGUUAAGAGCAGCAACAGCAAAGCAGAGCACUAGCAAGAAGUUUUUUUCCGUUUUUUUUUCUUUUUCAGCGAACAACAACCCCGAUGAACAGUAACUCUGACGAUGAAUAAUAACUCCGGCGAUGAACAGUAACUUUUUUCCUCUUUUUUUUUAUACCCAAGAUCCCCAAACACUGAAAAAUUAAUGGAGAGACCUUAAACUUUGAUACCAAAAAUGAUGUAGGACAAAUUUAAGGUAAAGGAUUGAUGUACAAUAAACUAGGAUUUAAACUCCACGUUUAAACCACUAGGAUCUCUCAAAUGUAUCAACUCCACGUAUCAACACCAAAAUGAAAAAAUACAUUUUCGCUAUGAUACCUCUACGGUAUGAAUAAAAUAAUUUAUUUCAAUAUCAAUAGUAUGUAGUCUAAAAGACUUGUGAGGAUUACAUCACUAUUUAAAGAGACUUGAACCUAAUAAUACUUUGGGAAUAAUAAAAUACGGCAAAACUAAUGAUUUGGCCACCGAAGUUGGCACGUUUUAUUGAAUACCUGAUUGAACUUUUAAUUUUUCGAAUUAACUCACUCAACUAAUUAUUAUUUUCAAAUUGGGUCAUUCUGUCAAAUCUGGUUAACGGCUGUCAAAAUUUUUCAUACAUGGAAGCAAAAAAAAUAAUAAAAUAAAAUAAAAAAUGAGGUGGCCAACCAGCAACAAUGACAUGGAAAUAAAAAUAAAAAAUUUAUUUUUUUACUCUUUUUUAACAUUUUAAAGUUUUUAAAAUGACAAAAAUAUAAUAAAACACAAUAAAAAUUAAUAAAAAUAAAAACAUUUUUUCAUUCAUUAAAUUAAAUUUAUUUAUCAAGUCUUAAUCAAUUAAAAAACCAAACAUAUGUUCCUUAAAAAAAAGACAACAUUAAAAGUAAAAAAAUCAAAAACAUUCAAAACAGAUCUAGAUCGGGGAAGAUUCAAAACCAAAUCUUAAUCAAGUUCUUUCGUACGCGCGAGGUGGCCUCCGAGAGGGAGUCUGGGCGGGAGAGGGAAGAUCGGUCGACGAGCUCGUACCAGGGGCGGCGCUAGGAGAAGGCAUGGCGGACGAAGGAAGAGAGGCAUAAACGCGCGGAAGGCGGGGGUGGCUAUCGGCGGCUGAGAUUGGGGGUUGGCGGUGGUUGAUUGGGGACUUGAGAUCGGGAGAGUUUGUGGUGAAGCCAUUUCGCGGGAGAGAAGGAAAAAGACAAAGCGAAAGCUGAGUGCUUUCGUUGCAAUUUGCAGAAAAAGGGGCGGAGUAGGAGAAAGAUAAUUCAAACAUAUUGGUUUAUUUGACUGAGAAAAAGGGGCGGAGUAGGAGAAAGAUAAUUCAAACAUAUUGGCGGACGGAGGAAGAUAAUCCUCAUAUGUAUCUAGAUUUGUUUUGAAUGCUUUUAAUUUUUUUAUUUUUAAUGUGUCUUUUUUUUUUAAGAAAAAUAUGUUUGGUUUUUUAAUUGAUUAAGAUUUCAUUUAUCUUGAUAAAUAAAUUUAAUUUAAUGAAUGAAAAAAUGUUUUAUUUUUAUUAGUUUUUAUUGUGUUUUAUUAUGUUUUUGUCAUUUUUAAAACUUUAAAAUGUUAAAAAUGAGUAAAAAAAUAAAUUUUUUAUUUUUAUUUCCAUGUCAUUGUUACUGGUUGGUCACCUCAUUUUUUAUUUUUUUUUCAUUUUUUUUUUGCUUCCACGUAUGAAAAAUUUUGACAGCCAAACCAGAUUUGACAGAAUGGCCGAAUUUAAAAAUAAUAAUUAGUUCAGUGAGUUAAUUCGAAAAAUUAAAAGUUCAAUCAGGUAUUCAAUAAAACGUGCCAACUUUGGUGGCCAAAUCAUUAGUUUUGCCAAUAAAAUACUAAACGACUAACAUACCCUUCUUAAUAAUUUCUAAUCGCUAAUCAAUGUCCUAAAUUCCUACUAAUAAAUAAAAUACAUAAAUCACAUCAACUACUUUUAUAUUAAACAUAAUAAAACUUCAAAUAAUAAAUAUAAAAAAUCUUUUCUUCUUUGUUCGUUACUUGGAGUCCCCAUAGAAAAACAUGAAAGCAUAAGCAUGGUUCGAAAUUGCGUUCGAGGCGCGCCUCGAAGCGAGGCGGUAGUUUUCUAUGGCGAGGUUUACGCCUUAAAGGGAAAUACUAAGGCUUGCGCAUCAUUUGGCUGAGGCUUACGCCUCAGUGCGUUGCGCCUCAAGGCGUAGGCCUUGAUUUGAAUUAAAAUAAACCCUAACUCUGUUCAGUUCUUCACAUUCGUGCAACAGAUCAGGCGAGCUUUGUGCGACUUCUUCUUCUCGAUUCUUCGUGCGGCGUAUCAGGUUCUGUCUUUUUCUCGAUUUUUUUCUUAUUACAGUGAAUUUUUUUUUUAUUACAGUGAAUGAGAUUCUUCUCUCACCCACCAGAUUCUUCUUCUUCUCGAUUUUUUUAAUUACAAUUAAUUGUUAUUAUGGGUAAGAAAGAUUCAACUUGAAAAUAUGGCACCGAAGCUCCUAGAGUUAAUAAAUCUCAUUUAUAUAUGGAAUGCAAUUUUUGCAAGAAAAUUUGCAGAGGGAUUACAAGGCUAAAAAAUCAUCUUGUGGGUAAUCAUAGUAAUGUUGAGACUUGCAAAAAAGAACCAAAUGGAGUGAAGGAAGAGCUUGCGUCAUAUAUGAAGAAAAGUAUCGACUCAAAGGAGGAAAGACAAAGAAAUGAAGCUGAAAAAAUACAAAGUAGGUCUUAUUAUGGUGGUCAUCCAUCCUUGGGAGGUUCAAGCGUGGGUAGUGCCUUCGCGAGGGGAGUUCGGGGACCCAUGGACAUAUUUGUUGUAGAUGUUGAUGCUAUUGAUGAUGAUGCUAUUACAAAGCGUACCGUAUUUUCAAAGGAGACUCGUAAUGCAGUCUGUCUUGAUAUUUGUAGAUUCUUCUUUUAAAACGGGAUUCCUUUUAAUGUUGCAGAUAGUCCUUCAUUUAUAAAUAUGUGUCGGUCAAUUGGGAACUAUGGUCGUGGUUUAAAACUCCCUAUUCCAUACGAGCUUAGUUCUUGGAUAUUGAAGGAGGAAGAUAAGACUACAAAGGCAUUUGUUGAGAAGGUAAAGAAGACUUGAGCACAUACAGGGGUGUCAAUCUUGUCGGAUGGUUGGAAAGAUAUUAGGGGAAGACAACUAAUAAACUUUCUUGUAAACAACCCCAUGACACUGUAUUUUUGAAAUCUGUUGAUGCAUCUGAUGCAGUUAAAGAUGCUAGUUUGAUGUUUAAACUACUUGAUGAGGUUGUUGAGGAAGUGGGAGAAACCUUGUCAUUCAAGUAGUCACUAACAAGGCAUCUAAUUAUAAGGUGGCAGGGAUAAUGUUAAUGGAGAAGAGGCCACGUAUGUGGUGGACACCGUGUGUCGCGCAUUGCAUCGAUUUGAUGUUUGAGAAGCUUGGAGAGUUGCCUCAACAUAAAAAUGCUUUGACAAAAGACAAAGAAGGUAAUUACUAUUAUUAUUUUUUGGAUAUAAUUUUUUUUAUUCAAUGAAUACUUGAAUUAUUUUUUUUUUUGAUGAAUACCAUUAUGUAAUUGUAGGUAAGCAACUUCAUAUAUAAUCAUGGAUGAGUCUUGGCAUUGAUCGGCCAGGCGCCACUAAAUUUGCCAGUGCUUAUUUAACUUUGCAGAGUAUGCAUAGUUUGAGACAGCCUUUGGAGGCAAUGCUUACAUCUAGGGAGUGGGCAAAUUGUACUUGGGCAAAAAAACCUGAAUGUAGUGAUAAGAAUUUUUGGGGUAGUGUAGGAUAUGCAAUUAAGACCACAAAACCUCUAGUAAGUGUAUUGAGAAUGGCAGAUUCAGAGAAGAUGUCGAGAAUGAGAUUUUUAUAUGGUGCCAUGGACAAUGCAAAAGAAGAGAAUGCAAAAAAUUUGGAUAAUGAGGGGGCCUAUAAAGAGAUAUGGAGCAUAAUAGUUGCUAAGUGGAACAAUCAGUUGCAUCGGCAUUUGCACGCUGCUGCAUAUUUUUUGAAUCCUCAUUUUCAAUAUGAUGACAAUUUUUGUGUCAAUGUGGAAGUUAAGGUGGGAUUAUACACUUGUAUGGACAAGCUUAUUCCUAACUCCGAGGAAAGAGAGAAAGCUGAUUUGCAAUUAAAUGCAUUCCGAUUGAGGCAAGGGUUAUUUGACUACACAAAUGCCAAAAACACGUGUAAGAAACGUGCUCCCGGUAAGUACCGUUGAUUAAUGUAUGGCUAUGCUUUCAUUUUGAUUAAACGUGCUCCCGGUAAGUACCGUUGUACCGGUAAGAUUGAUAUAUAUUUUAAUAUUGAUCCAGCUAAUUGGUGGAUCGCAUUUGGAGAUGAAGCUCCAGAAUUAAGAAACUUUGCAGUGAAGAUUUUGAGUUUAACUUGCUCAUCUUCGGCGUGUGAACGUAAUUGAAGUACUUUCAGUCAGGUAUUUAUUAGAUAUAAAUCAUUUAUAUUCUCAAAUCUAUUUACUAAGAUUUUAUGAGAUCUCACUAAUGCUCAAUUACUUGUAAUAAGAUAUAUACAAACAGAAGGAAUCGACUGUCCGCAUUCAAGCUCAACUCAUUCGCUUACAUUAUGUACAAUAAAAAAUUAAAAGAUCGGUACAUCAAAAAAAGGCACUAACAGAAGAAGCGGAUCCAUUGGUUGUUGAUGGUGUGCCAUCUGAUAAUGAGUGGGUUACGGGGGGAAAUGAUGAAAACAUCUCGAGAGUGACUUAAAAGCUUGAUGAUAUGGAGGAGGAGGGUGAAGGGACUCACGGGAAUGAAAUGACAGUUGAGGAGAAGAGACUAAUGUGAGGGAGAUUACACUUAGGGAAAUGGACUCGGGGAACAAGAAAGUAAACAAAAAAAUCAAAAGAGAAAGAGAAAGACUUUGCAGUCAAAAACUAAAACAAAAGGUUAGUGUCAUUACUUAAGUUGUCUUUAGACUUUAAAGUGUUCUUUAAAAAAACAACUCAUUAGUCAUUAUAUAUAUUCACUUGUUUAUUUCUAGAUAAAGGGAAGGGAUUGCAAUUGAUAGAUGAAUAAUCGGAGUAUGAGAAUCUUAGCAGUGACAAUGAGGAUGACAGAGCUAUUAGAUACGAUGAUGAUUUUAUGGAGGAUCCUCUUAGUGAUGAUAGGAAUGAUGAUGGAGAUGAUGGGGGGGAUGAUGAUCUAGGAUUUGAUCCAUUUUUCAGGUCGCUGGAUACAAAUGAUACACUACUUAUGUAGUGAUGGAUGAUCACUAUAUAAGUAGUUGAUGAUAUUAUGUUGUUUUGAUGUUUUAUAAUAAUACAUUAAGGUGACGUUGGUUAUUUAUGUCUUUUAUGGCCUUGAUUAUAAUGAUGAAUUAUUUUAUUAUUUUAUUAGUAUUUUUUUAUAAUUUUUUGGGGACUUUUAAGUUUUCAAAUCGAGGUUUAUACCUCGUCUCGUCCGGAAAAAAACGCGUCGUACCGUUUUUAGUUUUUUCGAACAUUGAGCAUACGCAUGGGUGGAGCCAAGCAAUCCCCAGCAGAGAGCAUGAUUGAUCAAGAAUGCCACCAAGAACUAGAACUUAGCGUAUCAAUGUAUAAAAAAAUAGCAUUUAAUUUUCAAGUCAUCGGUUAUUAGACCAUUCAAAUAAUUUUAAAGAAGCUUCUGACUGCCCUUCAUUUUUAUGACACUAUUUUUGCCAAAAAGUACACUACUGUUCUGAUUAUUCUUACAUUACAUGUAGAGUCCAGAAAAUUAUAGAUAAUUGUCACAUUAAUUUAAGCAGGUUAUUCAUAUUUGCAUUUAUUUGUAUCUGAUGCGGGGGAAGAGUCCAAUUCGAAAGUGGAUUAGGUGUUUAGGUGCGUUAGGGUCGGUAAACUUUUAAAAUGACAUAACUUUUGAUUCAUUUAGAGUUAGGGGGCCCAUAAUAGCUCUACAAGAGUCAUGGCCUUCGGCCAUGAGAAAUUAGUUUUUAAGCCAGAAAACCUGUUUUAAGUUGUUUUAUCAUUGGUCAAACUUGGAUUGUUUUUUUAAUUUUCAUUAUUUUAGUUCUCCUAAUCCUAGAUGUUGGUAAGUUGAUUAGGAUUAUAAAUACUCAUAUAUUAGGGCUCGUUAACAGUUACAUUUUAUUCAAUCAAUAUUUUAUAAUAUUUCUUUGUUCUCUUUUUGGUAGGUUUAAAACUUCAAAUCAUUGUAUGAAUCAAAUUAAAGUGCGAGAUCAAGGGAAAACCUUUUUCUUAAUUUCAAAUGGUGUGAUUGCAUGAAUUCCAGACCUUAUUACAGAAAACAAACCAUCAUAAUUGCAAACCUAGACAUACAAAGAUAAUAAUAUGUUGCAGUAGGAUCGAGAGAAUAAAUUUGAACACAUAACACAUAAGAACAGAUUAUAAAGGACGAUAGAGAGAAAUUACGGACCUUGUUUAGAUUCUUCUUCAUGCUUCUGGCUUGGUUUCGUAUUGACAAUUCGGGUUACCGAAGCUGUGACGGGGUAAGAGUGAAGCUGUAUUAUAUGGAUUCAGGUUGUGUGGACCGAGUUUGCGGGAAGAAGUGUAAUUGGAGUUGGUUAACCCGUAAAAUCAAAUAUUACCAAUUUUACAUGUUUGUUGGGUU